This 473-nucleotide ribosomal RNA is filed under the name Parastarte triquetra. RNAcentral describes it as "partial large subunit ribosomal RNA". It matches the Rfam family "Bacterial large subunit ribosomal RNA", at positions 1818 to 2597 of the family's 2925-position model. Lineage: Eukaryota; Metazoa; Mollusca; Bivalvia; Venerida; Veneridae. The record is from RNAcentral.
GCUUUUUGUAUAUUAAGUUAAAAAGUUGUACCUGCCCGGUGAUUCGUUUAAACGGCCGCAGUGAUCCUGUGCUAAGGUAGCGUAAUAAUUCGCCCCUUAAUUAGGGGAUAGUAUGAAUGGUUUGACGUGGAUAUGCUGUCUCUUUAAUAAAUAAUUAAUUUUUUAUCUAAGUGAAAAAGCUUAGUAUUUUGUAAAAGACGAGAAGACCCUAUCGAACUUAAUUAAAUAAUAAAAUAAAUUAAAUUGUUUUGUUGUUGAAUUUUUACUGGGGUAGUAAGAGCCAAAAAUUAACGGCUUUUUUAUAUAAAUAUCCUGUACGAUGGAAUAAAGCAAAAGUUACCGUAGGGAUAACAGCGUAAUAUUUUCCUGAAAGAUCUUAUUAAGGGAAUUGUGUGCGACCUCGAUGUUGAAUUAAGGAAACUUUAUGGUUGCAAAAGCUAUAUGUAGUGAGACUGUUCGUCUUUUAAUUCCUU